This 426-nucleotide ribosomal RNA is filed under the name uncultured bacterium. Its description in RNAcentral is "partial 16S ribosomal RNA". It matches the Rfam family "Bacterial small subunit ribosomal RNA", at positions 354 to 796 of the family's 1533-position model. The record is from RNAcentral.
GUGAGGAAUUUUCCGCAAUGGGCGAAAGCCUGACGGAGCAAUGCCGCGUGAAGGAUGAAGGCCUAUGGGUUGUAAACUUCUUUUCUCAGAAAAGAAUUAUGACGGUAUCUGAGGAAUAAGCAUCGGCUAACUCUGUGCCAGCAGCCGCGGUAAGACAGAGGAUGCAAGCGUUAUCAGGAAUGAUUGGGCGUAACGCGUCUGUAGGUUGUUUAAAAAGUAUUCUGUCAAAGCUUAGGGCUUAACCCUAGAUAGGCAGAAUAAACUUUUAAGCUAGAGUUUGGAAGAGGCAAAGGGAAUUCCCGGUGGAGCGGUGAAAUGCGUAGAUAUCGAGAGGAACACCAAAGGCGAAGGCACUCUGCUGGGCCAAUACUAACACUGAGAGACGAAAGCGAGGGGAGCAAAUGGGAUUAGAAACCCCGGUAGUCC